UUGGAAAUUCUGGCAAUCGCUCCGGCUCUUUGCCGGAGAGGAAAGUCCAUGCUCACACGGACCUGCGAUGGCCGUAGUGAUCGCGCUUAGCGAAACAAUAAGCUAAGGCAGCUUAACAGCUGACGGCGGGUAGAACGCCUAAGUCUUCGGAUAUGGCCGAAAUACCCUGAAGGUGCCACAGUGACGGAGCUGCAUAAGAAAUUAUGCAGGUGGAACGAGGUAAACCCCGCGAGUGAGAAACCCAAAUUAUGGUAGGGGCACUUUUCUGAAGGAAUUGAACGGAUGAAGAGGCAAGCUUUUGGCAUGCAGAUAGAUGGUUGCCGUCCACUAGUACGAGGUGCAAGCCGUUUGAGUACGUGGAAACAAAACAUGGCUUAUAGAAUUUCUCUUGGC
This 393-nucleotide RNase P RNA is filed under the name Planococcus glaciei. RNAcentral describes it as "Planomicrobium glaciei bacterial RNase P". It matches the Rfam family "Bacterial RNase P class B". Rfam says of the family: Ribonuclease P (RNase P) is a ubiquitous endoribonuclease, found in archaea, bacteria and eukarya as well as chloroplasts and mitochondria. Its best characterised activity is the generation of mature 5'-ends of tRNAs by cleaving the 5'-leader elements of precursor-tRNAs. The record is from RNAcentral. Lineage: Bacteria; Bacillati; Bacillota; Bacilli; Caryophanales; Caryophanaceae.